AGUGAAUAGAUACCCGGGUAGUCCACGCCCUAAACGAUGAUCACUGGGUGUUGGGGAAGCGAUUCCUUGGUACCGUAGCUAAACGCGUGAAGUGAUCCGCCUGGGGAGUACGGUCGCAAGGUUAAAACUCAAAGGAAUUGACGGGGACCCGCACAAGCGGUGGAUGAUGUGGAUUAAUUCGAUGCAACGCGAACAACCUUACCUACCCUUGACAUGUCUGGAAGCCUCUCGAGAGGGGGUGUGCCCGAAAGGGAACCGGAACACAGGUGCUGCAUGGCUGUCGUCAGCUCGUGUCGUGAGAUGUUGGGUUAAGUCCCGCAACGAGCGCAACCCUUGUCCCUAGUUGCUACGCAAGGGCACUCUAGGGAGACUGCCGGUGACAAACCGGAGGAAGGUGGGGAUGACGUCAAGUCCUCAUGGCCCUUAUGGUAGGGCUUCACACGUCAUACAAUGGCCGGUACAGAGGGUAGCCAACCCGCGAGGGGAGCCAAUCCCUAGGAAAGCCGGUCGUAGUCCGGAUUGCAGUCUGCAACUCGACUGCAUGAAGUC
Molecule: ribosomal RNA, 549 nt
Filed under: uncultured bacterium
Lineage: Bacteria
Description: bacterial SSU rRNA
Rfam family: Bacterial small subunit ribosomal RNA
Source: RNAcentral